This 644-nucleotide long non-coding RNA is filed under the name Homo sapiens (human). RNAcentral describes it as "non-protein coding lnc-UBE2E2-5:1". The record is from RNAcentral. Lineage: Eukaryota; Metazoa; Chordata; Mammalia; Primates; Hominidae.
ACACCUGCCCAAGGAGAACCCCAAAUUUAGUACAAACUUGCAUUGGUGAUGGUAGUACUGGAAAACUACCCUCAUGAAAUAUCAUUUGACUGCUGAAUUUGAGAUAUAGCCACCGUGGGUGUGGAGCUCCAUCCCCUUUCGUUCCACACCAACAAAGGGCCCAUUAAGUUCAAUGGAUGGGACACAGCUGGCCCGGAGAAAUUUGGCAAACUGAGAGAUGGCUGAUGGCUAUUAUAUCCAAGCCCAGGGUGCCCUAAUGCUUAAUGUAACAUCAAGAGUUACAAGAAGGUGCCUGACGUAGAGAUCUGGUAUGAGUGUAUGAAAACACCCCCAUCAUGUUUUGUGGCAAAAAAAAAAAGGAUGUUAAGCCAGAAAAUGAAGACAAAGUUUACUCUCUUCUAUUAAACAAAGAGUCUUUAGUACUAUAACAUUUAUGUCAAAAAUAACUACAACUUUGAAAAGUCCUUCCUCUGGCCUGCUAAGAAGCUCACUGAAGACCCCAGCCUGAAGUUUGUAGCCAUGCCUGCUCUUGCCCCACCACAGGUUUUCCUGGACCCAGCUUUGGCAGUGCAAUAUGAGCAUGAUUUAGAGGUUGCUCAGACAACUGCUCUCCUGGAUGAGAAGGAUGACCUGUGAGAAAAUAA